UGUCAAGGCACAAGGCUUGGCGCAGGG
This 27-nucleotide non-coding RNA is filed under the name Rattus norvegicus (Norway rat). Lineage: Eukaryota; Metazoa; Chordata; Mammalia; Rodentia; Muridae. The record is from RNAcentral.